AGUGAAUGGUGCUGGUGGUGUCCUCCUUUUGCCAGGCUGUUUGUGUCCCACCACCUUGGGCUCUUGUGUUCUUCAAUUCCCUUGGCCUGUGUAUUCUUCGGGAACGUUUUGUUGUCUGUGGCAAUGGAAAUGGCACCCAGCAGCUCAGUAGCCCUAAGCCUCAGUGUUCUUAGGAAAACAGCAUUACAUUUUAAUAGGAAAUUUCAACCUGAACAGUCCUCCUUCAUCAGAAGAAAGAUGGUGAACUUGAAUGUUUUUCACUUCUUUGCAAUGCACAAAGAAUUCUGUGCUGGUGCGAGCGUUAAAGAUAGAGUGUAACAGCAUUCUCCCCACCUUUCAACAUGUUCCAUGUACCAGGAGGCCGACAUUACCAUGUCUCAGGAUGAUCUCUCCGGAGCUGUAUAUUUACCCUUAUGAAAGACCAAGAUUCUCUCACCUAUUUUCUCUGAAAUCAAUAAGAAGACACACAGCCCCGUUUAUACAAGAAGCAGCAAUUCCCAGAGAAAAUAGCGUUUAA
Molecule: long non-coding RNA, 517 nt
Filed under: Apteryx owenii (little spotted kiwi)
Lineage: Eukaryota; Metazoa; Chordata; Aves; Apterygiformes; Apterygidae
Description: lncRNA (ENSAOWG00000015263.1)
Source: RNAcentral